Molecule: ribosomal RNA, 497 nt
Filed under: uncultured bacterium
Lineage: Bacteria
Description: partial 16S ribosomal RNA
Rfam family: Bacterial small subunit ribosomal RNA
Source: RNAcentral
GACGAACGCUGGCGGCGUGCCUAAUACAUGCAAGUUGAGCGCUGAAGGUUGGUACUUGUACCGACUGGAUGAGCAGCGAACGGGUGAGUAACGCGUGGGGAAUCUGCCUUUGAGCGGGGGACAACAUUUGGAAACGAAUGCUAAUACCGCAUAAAAACUUUAAACACAAGUUUUAAGUUUGAAAGAUGCCAUUGCAUCACUCAAAGAUGAUCCCGCGUUGUAUUAGCUAGUUGGUGAGGUAAAGGCUCACCAAGGCGAUGAUACAUAGCCGACCUGAGAGGGUGAUCGGCCACAUUGGGACUGAGACACGGCCCAAACGCCUACGGGAGGCAGCAGUAGGGAAUCUUCGGCAAUGGACGAAAGUCUGACCGAGCAACGCCGCGUGAGUGAAGAAGGGUUUCGGAUCGUAAAACUCUGUUGGUAGAGAAGAACGUUGGUGAGAGUGGAAAGCUCAGCAAGUGACGGUAACUACCCAGAAAGGGACGGCUAACUACGUG